GAUGAACGCUGGCGGCGUGCCUAAUACAUGCAAGUCGAGCGAACAGACGAGGAGCUUGCUCCUCUGACGUUAGCGGCGGACGGGUGAGUAACACGUGGAUAACCUACCUAUAAGACUGGGAUAACUUCGGGAAACCGGAGCUAAUACCGGAUAAUAUAUUGAACCGCAUGGUUCAAUAGUGAAAGACGGCUUUGCUGGCACGUAUAGAUGGAUCCGCGCCGUAUUAGCUAGUUGGUAAGGUAACGGCUUACCAAGGGAAGUAUGCGUUGGCGACCUGAGAGGGUGGUCGGCCACCCUGGAACUGGGACACGCUCCAGGCUCCUACGGGAGGCCGCAGUAGGGAAUGUUCCGCAAUGGGCGAAAGCCUGACGGAGCAACGCCGCGUGAGUGAUGAAGGUCUUCGGAUCGUAAUACCCUCUUUCUAGGUAUGAACAAAUGUGUCAGUAACUAUGCCCUUCUUGACGGUACCUAGUCAGAAAGCCCCGGCUAACUACGUG
This 497-nucleotide ribosomal RNA is filed under the name uncultured bacterium. Its description in RNAcentral is "partial 16S ribosomal RNA". It matches the Rfam family "Bacterial small subunit ribosomal RNA", at positions 28 to 507 of the family's 1533-position model. The record is from RNAcentral.